RNAcentral lists this ribosomal RNA (461 nucleotides) under uncultured bacterium. RNAcentral describes it as "bacterial SSU rRNA". It matches the Rfam family "Bacterial small subunit ribosomal RNA", at positions 339 to 793 of the family's 1533-position model. The record is from RNAcentral.
CUACGGGAGGCAGCAGUGGGGAAUAUUGCACAAUGGGCGCAAGCCUGAUGCAGCCAUGCCGCGUGUGUGAAGAAGGCCUUCGGGUUGUAAAGCACUUUCAGUCGUGAGGAAGGUAGUGUAGUUAAUAGCUGCAUUAUUUGACGUUAGCGACAGAAGAAGCACCGGCUAACUCCGUGCCAGCAGCCGCGGUAAUACGGAGGGUGCGAGCGUUAAUCGGAAUUACUGGGCGUAAAGCGCAUGCAGGUGGUUUGUUAAGUCAGAUGUGAAAGCCCGGGGCUCAACCUCGGAAUUGCAUUUGAAACUGGCAGACUAGAGUACUGUAGAGGGGGUAGAAUUUCAGGUGUAGCGGUGAAAUGCGUAGAGAUCUGAAGGAAUACCGGUGGCGAAGGCGGCCCCCUGGACAGAUACUGACACUCAGAUGCGAAAGCGUGGGGAGCAAACAGGAUUAGAUACCCUGGUAG